Molecule: ribosomal RNA, 209 nt
Filed under: uncultured bacterium
Lineage: Bacteria
Description: partial 16S ribosomal RNA
Rfam family: Bacterial small subunit ribosomal RNA
Source: RNAcentral
GACAGAGGGUGCAAACGUUGGUUCGGAAUUACUGGGCGUAAAGCGUGUGUAGGCGGCCUACGUAAGUCGGAUGUGAAAGCCCUGGGCUCAACCCAGGAAGUGCACUCGAUACUGCGUGGCUAGAGUACUGGAGAGGUUGGGUGGAAUUCUCGGUGGUAGAGGGUGAAAAUUCGUAGAUAUUCGCAAGAACGACCAGUGGCGAAGGCGGA